RNAcentral lists this transfer RNA (57 nucleotides) under Schistidium canadense. Its description in RNAcentral is "partial tRNA-Asp". It matches the Rfam family "tRNA", at positions 1 to 54 of the family's 71-position model. Rfam says of the family: Transfer RNA (tRNA) molecules are approximately 80 nucleotides in length. Their secondary structure includes four short double-helical elements and three loops (D, anti-codon, and T loops). The record is from RNAcentral. Lineage: Eukaryota; Viridiplantae; Streptophyta; Bryopsida; Grimmiales; Grimmiaceae.
GGGAUUGUAGUUCAAUUGGUUAGAGCACCGCCCUGUCAAGGCGGARGUUGCGGGUUC